RNAcentral lists this ribosomal RNA (452 nucleotides) under uncultured Gammaproteobacteria bacterium. RNAcentral describes it as "bacterial SSU rRNA". It matches the Rfam family "Bacterial small subunit ribosomal RNA", at positions 1076 to 1532 of the family's 1533-position model. The record is from RNAcentral. Lineage: Bacteria; Pseudomonadati; Pseudomonadota; Gammaproteobacteria.
UGGGUUAGUCCGCAACGAGCGCACCCCUAUUGAUAGUUACCAUUAUUAAGUUGGGUACUCUAUUGAGACUGCCGCUGACAAGGCGGAGGAAGGUGGGGACGACGUCAAGUCAUCAUGGCCCUUACGACCAGGGCUACACACGUGCUACAAUGGAUAUUACAGAGGGCUGCGAUACCGCGAGGUGGAGCGAAGCUCAGAAAGGUAUUCUUAGUCCGGAUUGCAGUCUGCAACUCGACUGCAUGAAGCAGGAAUCGCUAGUAAUCGCGAAUCAGAAUGUCGCGGUGAAUACGUUCCCGGGUCUUGUACACACCGCCCGUCACACCAUGGGAGUGGGUUGCUCCAGAAGUAGAUAGCUUAACCUUAGGGAGGGCGUUUACCACGGAGUGAUUCAUGACUGGGGUGAAGUCGUAACAAGGUAGCCGUAGGGGAACCUGCGGCUGGAUCACCUCCUU